UGCGUAGGCGGUCGGGUAAGUCUGACGUGAAAUCUUCAAGCUCAACUUGGAAACUGCGUCGGAUACUAUUCGGCUGGAGGAAUGGAGGGGAGACUGGAAUACUUGGUGUAGCAGUGAAAUGCGUAGAUAUCAAGUGGAACACCAGUGGCGAAGGCGAGUCUCUGGACAUUUCCUGACGCUGAGGACGAAAGCCCAAGGGGGACGCGAAACG
Molecule: ribosomal RNA, 211 nt
Filed under: uncultured bacterium
Lineage: Bacteria
Description: partial 16S ribosomal RNA
Rfam family: Bacterial small subunit ribosomal RNA (bases 3-184)
Source: RNAcentral